UUUGAAGGUCUUCACACCAUCUACAAUUCAGUGAUAGCAACAUUCCGUAUUCCAAGUCACUUUCACUAUAUGUUGAAGUUCUCAGAUUUUCAAAUGACUGCACCAGUAAAAUGGACGCUGAGGUACUCACUACAAGUGGUAAAACGCGCUGGUAAAAUGGACACUGAGGUACUCACUACAAGUGGUAAAACGAGCCGGGAAAAUGGACACUGAGGUACUCACAAGUGGAUGGUAAAUGCGCCGGGAAAAUGGACGCUGAGGUACUCACUACAAGUGGAUGGUAAAUGUGCCGGGAAAAUGGACCCUGAGGUACUCACUACAAGUGGUAAAACGAGCUGGUAAAAUGGACGCUGAGGUACUCACUACAAGUGGUAAAACGCGCUGGUAAAAUGGACGCUGAGGUACUCACUACAAGUGGAUGGUAAAUGCGCCGGGAAAAUGGACGCUGAGGUACUCACUACAAGUGGAUGGUAAA
Molecule: long non-coding RNA, 475 nt
Organism: Erinaceus europaeus (western European hedgehog)
Lineage: Eukaryota; Metazoa; Chordata; Mammalia; Eulipotyphla; Erinaceidae
Exons: 3
Source: RefSeq, a predicted model, not a curated record